RNAcentral lists this ribosomal RNA (713 nucleotides) under uncultured Clostridia bacterium. RNAcentral describes it as "bacterial SSU rRNA". It matches the Rfam family "Bacterial small subunit ribosomal RNA", at positions 672 to 1397 of the family's 1533-position model. The record is from RNAcentral. Lineage: Bacteria; Bacillati; Bacillota; Clostridia.
AGUGUAGCGGUGAAAUGCGUAGAUAUUAGGAGGAACACCAGUUGCGAAGGCGGUCUCUGGACUGUAACUGACACUGAGGCACGAAAGCGUGGGGAGCAAACAGGAUUAGAUACCUGGUAGUCACGCCGUAAACGAUGAGUACUAGCUGUCGGAGGUUACCCCCUUCGGUGGCGAGCUAACGCAUUAAGUACUCCGCCUGGGAAGUACGCUCGCAAGAGUGAAACUCAAAGGAAUGACGGGGACCCGCACAAGUAGCGGAGCAUGUGGUUUAAUUCGAAGCAACGCGAAGAACCUACCUAAGCUUGACAUCCCAAUGAUCUCUCCCUAAUCGGAGAUUUCCCUUCGGGGACAUUGUGACAGGUGGUGCAUGGUUGUCGUCAGCUCGUGUCGUGAGAUGUUGGGUUAAGUCCCGCACGAGCGCAACCCUUGCCUUUAGUUGCCAGCAUUAAGUUGGGCACUCUAGAGGGACUGCCGGGAUAACCUGGAGGAAGGUGGGGAUGACGUCAAAUCAUCAUGCCCCUUAUGCUUAGGGCACACACGUGCUACAAUGGGUGGUACAGAGGGCAGCCAAGUCGUGAGGCGGAGCUAAUCCCUAAAGCCAUUCUCAGUUCGGAUUGUAGGCUGAAACUCGCCUACAUGAAGCUGGAGUUACUGUAAUCGCAGAUCAGAAUGCUGCGGUGAAUGCGUUCCCGGGUCUUGCACACACCGCCCGU